GUAAGAAUUAAAGAAGUGCUCCUGUUUCGUAGUGAGGAAAAGAACUGGAGUAUCUAUCUGCUUGACCCACUCUCAUCUGCAACCGGUGAGCCAAGAGACCAAGCAGCUGAACAGGAAAGAAACUGGCUUCCUCCUGCGAAGCCUUGCAUAAGCAAAUACACCUCAUGAGCGAUGAACUUGAACAACAGGCCCAAACUGGGAGUCAAGCAGCAGUGGACAUGCCGGGAUUCUUAAGUGCCCACUAAGACGGCUGCAGGUGAAAAUGGGAUGAGUAGGAAAAAGAUCCUUUGUCUUUUUUGUCCCCAAAUCUCAUCUACCUCGCACUGAGACUGUGCGAACAGUUGUGGGCCUAGAG
Molecule: long non-coding RNA, 355 nt
Filed under: Rattus norvegicus (Norway rat)
Lineage: Eukaryota; Metazoa; Chordata; Mammalia; Rodentia; Muridae
Description: long non-coding RNA NONRATT033159
Source: RNAcentral